RNAcentral lists this non-coding RNA (859 nucleotides) under Pongo abelii (Sumatran orangutan). The record is from RNAcentral. Lineage: Eukaryota; Metazoa; Chordata; Mammalia; Primates; Hominidae.
GUGCAAUUCUACUUAGAGAUCUUCACAACAUCUUAAGGGAAAAAUCCUUUUUGAAAGAAAAACAACUCUGGGUGGUGCUUGAAAAUUCAGAAGGCAGCUAGAAACUUUGCCAGUGACAACUGGUGAUUGCUGAGUUCCAGAGACAGACUGGGCUUCUGCUUUCUUUUGGUGGAGGUGUCUGCUUGCAGAAAAUUUAUGUUCUGGGAUUUACAACUUCAGGGAGACAAAGGAAACUCCAGGUCAUCUCCCACAUCAUUGAUUGAGAGGACCAUUUUCUGACUGUCUGCACACUGGUGCUUCGUGAACCCUGGAUGCUACAGUCUCUGGCCACAGCACUAAAUGUAUGCUGAGAUCUGGCUUCACGGUCAAGGGCGCUGCUGGUUUUCAAUGUGCCUGACAUGGGAUCAAUGGUGAAUGCACCAGAAGCCUCAUCAGUCAGAAAAUACUCAGUUUGCCCAUUCAGGCCUUCAUCCUUGUCCACAGCUGAAAGCACAAGAACCACUGUUCCCACUUCAGCAUCUUCUCUCACAGAGGACUGGUAAUAAAGUGUGGGAAAAGAAGGACUGUGGUCAUUGGCAUCCAAAACUCUAACUUGCAGGUGUAUUACAGAGCUCCUAGGUGGAUCUCCCAGGUCAGAGCACAGAACGGCAAGGGUAAAAUUGCUGACUUGCUCCCGGUCCAAAGCACGAGUGGUUGAGAGUUCUCCUGACAUCUCAUUUAUAGCAAAGUACUCAUCGGUAUUUCCAUCUAUUAAAGAAAACAAUUACAAAUUCAUUUGAAUUGAAAAAGUAGCAGCUCUUUGCUAGCACUAUCUAUGGUAUUCAUUUAUACAUUCAUUAAAAAAUAUAUUUAUUCCCGA